CUUUUUGUCACCCUCUCUCCCAAUGACAACUUCAGGUACAGAGGACACAGUUUGAUCCCUCACCAUAGUUGUAUAACCCCUCACCCCAGUUUGAACCUCUAAUGUAAAUUGUUUAUCAGCUUCAAUAUCAGCUAGUCUCUCCCUAAUAGCCUUUAUUUUAUGGCCCAUCUUAAAACCAUAAACAAGCUGAUUCGAAGACGAAAAGAAAAGGC
RNAcentral lists this unclassified non-coding RNA (212 nucleotides) under Hevea brasiliensis (rubber tree). The record is from RNAcentral. Lineage: Eukaryota; Viridiplantae; Streptophyta; Magnoliopsida; Malpighiales; Euphorbiaceae.